ACUGGAAUUUGUGUGUGUGUGUGUUUCAGAAACUGUGUGUGUGUGUGUGUGUGUGUGUGUGUGUGUGUGUUUUCAGCUUGAGAAAGAUGAAAUCACGUUUCCUUAAUGCUGGGAGUAAUAAUGCUUAAUGCUUAACUUUUCAUUGUUCUUUCAUGUUUCAAGCCCUACCAGGCCCAGGAAAACACUUCUUUCCGUUUCCUGUAGCCUUCCUGCGUAUCAUGCAUUAUAUUUGAAAGUGCUUUCCUCUACUUUCCUCAUUUUAUCUCAAUAAUCUCUGCUAAAACCAGAUAACUUUCACCCUCCCGGUUCAGCAUUUGCUCUUUUCCCUCCUACACAAGCUGAUUAGAAUUUGCAAAGAGAGAGGAAGAAGAAAGGUUCUAUUUUGUUUCAUGAUUGUUGCUAGAAAACGGCAAGACCUCGGGAGAGAGACCAGCAUAUUAUUUCCCAGUGGAUGUCAGAGCUAGCAAAGUUUUUUUUUUUUCUUUAAAUUUUAUUCCCUAGCAGGUCAAAAACUAGUAUGUUUGCAAGAACAAUUUCUAGUUUGCUCAUAAAACUAUUGUUAUUAGCCACUCUAAGGUUGGCAUACUUUUAAAAGUUCAAACAAGUUCCUUCUAGAAUAGGGUUCUUUUAAACAUUAACAUUUAAAAAGAAGUAAUUUUUUUCAUAAAUAAUUUAGAUUUAACUCUUUACCUCUAUAGUAUAUCUGCCUUACUUCGUUAAUGUGUCCCCUGAUUUACUGCCUAUGUCAAAGCACUUUUAAAAUAAUGUCAAUUUUCUUGUUCUCCCAGUUCAUUUUUCUGAGGACCAAUGGUGAUAAGUGUUGGUCUGCCUAUCUUCCCAGAAUAAUCCAAGAUUUGGGGAAAGAAAGAGUAUUUUGCUAAUUUCAGUUUUCUUUCACAUUAAAAAGUUCAACGUAUCUAGAACGGAACAAAACGGAGAAAGCAAAGAAUAAAGAAGGAAUAAUCCUGCAGCAAUAUGGAAGAUGGAGGUAUGGCUAAGGAUGAAUGAAAAAAAAAAAAGACUUCCUAAAGGAAAAUCAAAGUAGUUUCAGCAGCAAAUAAAAGGCAAAGAAACAUAUAUUGGGGAAAGGAUACUGUAUUCAGUAAAUUGUGCUGGAAAAAGUGGUAAGCCACAUGUAGAAGAAUGAAACUGGAUCCCCAGCUCUCACCUAAUACAAAAAUCGACUCAAGAUGCAUCAAAGACUUAAAUAUAAAACCUGAAACCUUGAAAAUUCUAGAAGAUAACACCAGAAAAACUCUUCUAAAUGUUGGCUUACGCAAAGAAUUCAUGACUAAGACACCAAAAGAAAAUGCAACAAAAACAAAAAUAAAUAAAUGGGACUCAAUUAAACUGAAAAGAUUUUGCACACCAAAUAAAUAAUCAGAAGAAUAAACAGAAAACCCACAGAAUGGAAGAAAAUAUUCACCAACUAUGCAUCUGACAAAGGACUAGUAUCCAGAAUUUACAAGGAACUCAAACAAAUAAAUGAAUUCAAAUAUCCCAUUAAAAAGUGUGCAAAGGACAUGAAUAGACAAUUGUCAAAAGAAGAUAUACAAACAGCCAAUAAACAUAAAAAAAAAUACAGCAUCGCUAGUCACCAGGGAAAUGCAAAUUAAAACCACAGUGAGAUUCCACCUUACUCCCGCAAGAAUGUCCACAAUUAAAAAGUCAGAAAACAAUAGAUGUUGGCAUGGAUUUGGUGAAAAUCACAUCAGUGAAUACAGAUUUGGGAAGAAAUGUGCAUAACUGGUUUCAGCUAGCCAACACGCUGGUCCCAGUAUACCACUGGCUACGGCAUUCUAAAAGUGUCCUCAUAUGUAUCUAUUAAAUAUUCAAGAACUUUGACCAAUAUAUUCUCUGCCAAAUGCUCUCAAGAAAUCUUGGUGGAGAUGGUGUCGGGGUAAGGUGGGGGUUUUUCCGAAAUGGAAUCAUGUUAAUGUGGACUUAAUGUUAAAAUAUGAAUUUUCAAAAAAAUUUGCUUUACUUUCAGUAGGCUAAAUACCUACAUAGUAAAAUUUAAAAAAAUCUGUAAUUCUCUCUUAAUUUAUUCAUUAUACUAUUAUAUGUGGUAGGCAUUUUUUUCCUGGCUCUCAUAUCAUUUGUGUUUGUUUUAUACUAAUGAAAUACAGAAAAACUCUGUAGUAUAUAGAGCCCAAUGGAACUUUUAAGAGUGAGAAUUUUAAUUUGUAUAUUAUGGAAAAGUCAUCUCAGAAAUAUUAGUUUAUAAAUAUGCAGAUACAAUUUCUAGAAUGUCAAAAAAUAAUCCUUUCACCUGAGUUGUCUUAAGUAAAUAACUUUUAGGAUUUUUAAUUGGAUUAUUUAUGUAAUCAUUAUAAAGGAGAUCUGAGGUAAAUUGCUUAAGCAUUUUCUUUAGCUUUUUGCAAGACUAAAAAUGGAGAAUAAAUAUUUGCUCAAAUAUCGAGUCAAACUAAUUUUGAAGAGAAAUCUCUAAAUACUUUAUUAAAUGACCAAAAUAUAAGAAAAUGUUUAAAAAGACUGCAAAUAGAAACACAUCAGUUUAAAGCACACAAAGAGAUAAGUGGAAAAAGUAUUUUCUCAGAACAUGCUAAAAAAAACUUAGAAUAUCCAGGAUACUGCAUUUAUUCAUCCUUACAACAUGAAUUUUAAAUAUCUUAGCGACUGUGCUAUCAUUUUCAGUGUUCUGUAUGAAUUCUUACCUUCUCAGAAGAUUAUGUAGAUAUAACAGAUACUUCUGGAAUAUAUAUCCAUGAUAAGAUUUGUCUUUUUACAGGAGAAAAGAAAAUAUAUCAAGUCCAACAGAACUUAAGAAAAUACAAUUUAAUUAACUUUAUAUGAUAUAGGCCUUGUUAAUAUUAUAUAUCAAAAAAGAAUUCUAGUUUAUAUUCUUUUGUCUGUAAGAUGGGGGAGCUGUUGCAUUAUAAAAAAUACUGGUCAGUUCCAUUCCUCUAAGCAUUUUCUUUUGAUUAAAAUCAUUUGUAGUAAAAAUGAUGACCCAAACCUUUGUAAAUGAUAUUUUAGCUGGGUUAUAAUCUAAUGAAAUUGUGAUUUUAAAAGUGCUUCAAUUACUACAACUAUAAAAUCUUGGUUUACUAGGAAUAUGUAUAAGGUGAAGUAUCCAUUAUUUCUUUAACAUCAGUAUAUAUUGUUUAACAUUCUGCUUUUGGGCUAAGACUUCCUAGGCUUUACAGAAGAGAAGUUGUUUAUCUGAACAGUGUAAAAAUAUGUGUGUGUGUGUGUGUGUGUGUGUGUGUGUAUGUGUAUAAAAAUAUAUGUUCUGUUGUUAUUUAGUUAUGUCUUCCCUGAAAACACUGAUAGAUCCAACAAGUCUCUUGAUUCCUCUUAAAGAUAAGCAAGAAGAAGAAUAAAGUAUGUCACACUUAAACUUGAGUAAAUCCAAGUUGGAAAAACAGAAGCAGAUUUUUUUUUAAUCCUACAGGAUGAAUGUUGAGAGAGACAAAAAUAUUAACACCACAUAAAUUAUAACCUAGAGAAAUUCUAAACCAGGUUGAAAACCUACGCAUAAGCAGUCAAUAAUUAUCUUACACUUAUGCAAUACAAUUUUUUAUUACAGAAAGAACUUUAGUAAUUACCUCAUGCUGUAUAUAUGGGAAAGGAGAUAAGGAAGAAAAACUCUUUAUAGUAUGCAAUUAGUUAUCUCCUGCCUUAUCUUGGUAUUUGUAGAAACACUUGGAAGUAGGAAAAGUGAACAUUUGUAUCCCUGUUCUAUAGUUUAAAAAAUUGACACACAUAAGUUAUUUUUAAUUUAUCCAGUUAAUCACCAGUAAUCAUGAUGCUUUAUGAAUGACAAUUCUUUUAUAUUUAUUCAAAAAUAUGGGGAAAAUAAAUGACAUCUGCCUAUAUAACUUAAAAUUCUUGAAGAAAAUGUGUAUAGGAAUAACUUGGUAUGAAAUGUUAUAGAAAUGUUAGUUCUUUGUCUCUUAUAGUUACAGUAAGUGGCUAAUCAUCAUGUCUACGUUUAUGUAUAAUUUAUUUACAUUUUAAAAUGUUCUAACCUUGAAUACAUAGGGAACAAAUAUCUGAUGAUAGGUGUUUGCAAGGCAGCAUCAGUGAUUUUUCUUGAUAUUUUAUCUGAAAUAUCUGAGUAUCUACUAGGAAUCUAACAUGGAAAGGUAAUUACAUAUGAUGUUGGAAGCAAAUUUGUAUACACCCUAUUUAUGGCCAAGCAAAACAGUGUAAUGUGUCUGAGCAUGUAUGUGUUCCUUUCACCAGUUUUCUUGUGGUAGAAUUUAUAAAACUGCAUAUAUUCACAAUGUACAAUGUGAUGGUUUGACGUAUAUAUACAUUGUGAAAUAAUUACCACAAUCAAGUCAAUGAACACAUUCAUCACCUCAGCGUUUUCUAAAAUUACAUUUAUCAAACUGUAUUUGAAAGUAAAUGUGUUUUCUCAUUGUUAACCACGACUUUAAAACUUUAUUACAGAUUAAUGUUAAGAAAGCUACUGAAAUUAAUUUUAGUAAUAAAACAUCUGAAUAUACACCAUGAAAUGUAUAAAUGUAUGUGCUGAUUUUAGGAGUACAACUAAAUAAGUAAUGCAAACUUACUUGCAGGAUCAUCACUUUAACUCUGUCUCUCUCUCUCUCUCUCUCUUUAUAUAUAUGUCUCUCUCAUAUAUAUGAUAUAUCUUAUACAUCUAACUAUAUAUAUGUAGAGGAAGAAAGAGACACUAUAGAGUAAUACAACCUUUCCAUUAACUGCAUAUAAAGUCAGCCUUAUAAUAAUGCCCCUGGAUUAUCUGACCCUUUAAUAAAAUGUUAUACAUAUUUAGAGACUUGGAUUGUGCCUGUUUUUACUAACAGUUGUUAUUUAAAAUAUUAUUAGUAAGUUAAUUCAUAUAAACCAUGCAGAGAAGCUGUAUAACUGUGCAUAUAAAUAGUGAAGAGAAACUGAUCUGGCAUUCAGGGAUGUUGAGAUUAUUCCAACUCCGCUGCCAAUUGGCUGUGUGUCUUUGGAGAGGUCACAUAAUAUCUCCGAGCUAUAGUUUCCUUAUCAGUAACAUAGACUAGAUGAUUUUUAAAAUUUCACUCAGCACAUAAUUUGAUCUCUAACUUAAAAGAGCUGGAAUAAAAAUCACCACUAAAAAUUAUUAGCGUUACUAUGGUUGUACUUUGUUUUUAUACAUUACAGGCAUUAAAAACUACCUAGAGUUAAUUAGUAUUCGACAAAAUUAUUUCUUACAAAUCUUACGCUAUUCUGUAACGCAUGGGUCUAAUAUGUAUUUAAUGUAGCUUUCGUACAACUGCAAAAACUUCAAAGCAUAUCUGAACUUGUGGGUUUUGUAAGACUUGAACGCUAUAAAUGAAAGUAAUGGAAAUUUUAUUAUAUUCUAUUAUCGAUUGUGUGAUUAGAGUUGUUGAGUGGUAACUCAGUGUCUCAUGUGUGUGAAAGAGAGAGAAAUGAUGACAGUUGUAAAAGCCUAAGAUACACAAGACAGAAUAGUGGUUAGGAUCAUAAGCUUGGAAAUUAGAACCGAUAUUUUACUUCCAGUGUCUGCCACAUCUCAGUGGUAUGACUUUGGGAAAGUAGUUUAAUUUCUCUGAGUUACUUCAUCUGUAGUAUGCAGAUUACAAUAGCCACCGCACAGUGGGUAUAAAGAUGAGUAAGGUUAUAUUUUUGAACACGUAGAAGAGUAUCUGACAUACAAUAAGUGUGUACCGUUAAAGUAUACUUAAACAAAAUUUAAUAUUAAUAAAAGCUAUAUAUAGGUA
RNAcentral lists this long non-coding RNA (5708 nucleotides) under Homo sapiens (human). RNAcentral's name for it is "HSALNT0376618". The record is from RNAcentral. Lineage: Eukaryota; Metazoa; Chordata; Mammalia; Primates; Hominidae.